UUGGGUUAAGUCCGUACGAGCGCAACCCUGUCCUUAGUUACCAGCACGUUAUGGUGGGCACUCUAAGGAGACUGCCGGUGGACAAACCGGAGGAAGGUGGGGAGUGACGUCAAGUCAUCAUGGCCCUUACGGCCUGGGCUACACACGUGCUACAAUGGUCGGUACAAAGGGUUGCCAAGCCGCGAGGUGGAGCUAAUCCCAUAAAACCGAUCGUAGUCCGGAUCGCAGUCUGCAACUCGACUGCGUGAAGUCGGAAUCGCUAGUAAUCGUGAAUCAGAAUGUCACGGUGAAUACGUUCCCGGGCCUU
This 307-nucleotide ribosomal RNA is filed under the name uncultured Pseudomonas sp. RNAcentral's name for it is "bacterial SSU rRNA". It matches the Rfam family "Bacterial small subunit ribosomal RNA", at positions 1075 to 1382 of the family's 1533-position model. The record is from RNAcentral. Lineage: Bacteria; Pseudomonadati; Pseudomonadota; Gammaproteobacteria; Pseudomonadales; Pseudomonadaceae.